Long non-coding RNA from Alexandromys fortis (reed vole), 1976 nucleotides. RefSeq lists it as uncharacterized. The record is from RefSeq and is a predicted model, not a curated record. Lineage: Eukaryota; Metazoa; Chordata; Mammalia; Rodentia; Cricetidae. The transcript is spliced from 3 exons.
AAAGAAAAAAAGUUGGUAUUGAUCAAUAAUGCCACAAAUCAUGGUACUGACCUGAAGAUAUUUGGAAACUCUGGUAUUGACCAAUAAUGCUGAGAUUCGUGUUACUGACCCAAAGGUUUGGAAACUCUGGUAUUGACCAGCAAUGCCAAGAAUCAUGGUACUGACAAAGAUAUUUGGAAAAGUUGGUAUUGACCAACAAUGCUGAGAAUUAUGAUAUUGACUGUCAACUGCUGAGAAAAGUUUCACAUACCCCGUAAAUAUUGGGGCUUAAUGCAUAUGUUAAGAAUUUUACAUUUUAAUACAAUGCGAAAGAUUUAAGAACUGCACCAAACUAGCUGAAGAAGCAUUCUCAACUCAGGUGAUUCUCUUCUCCUUUAAACAGGAGAAUAUAGUCUCCUGUUUAUUCAUAAAUUCAUGAUUAUUCAUAAAGCAUUAUAAUUUAUCCUGACAAGAAAGUAUGGCUCCAAGACACAGAGCCCAAAAGGAGACAGAAGGCUGGUGUAUUUCCCACUCAGUUCAUGUUUUGGUAUAAAAGCUCUUUGGACAAUAAGUGAGAGGAAUUCUUCAGGAUAUGAACUCAGAACUUCAUGAGGAACCACUGAGAAUCUCCCUCCCAAUAAAACCAGCCAGUGCCAUGUUUGCAGAGUCAUGACCAGCAGCGGCUCAACUGGGGGCAGCACAAACAGUCCUGUGCCGCUUGGUGUUCUGCCUUGGUAUUGGGAAAACACUGACAAAUAUGCUUUGCUUGACAAAUUAAAAAAAGAUAAAAAAUCAACUCUGUACAUGGAGCAAGGAGCCAAGAACUCAGGAGCAGGAGGCACAAACUGGAAGUUUUGCAAGCCACAGUGUGGUAAGGAAAGUGACAGUGGGGGAGGGUAGAAAAUGUGCAUGAGCUUGGGAAAUUACCAAGUUGCCAUCCAUGUGUGGCAGAGGUUUUACAAAAUAAAAAAUAAAAAAAAAAAAAACACUUAAUAGGUGGUGAAAGCAAGCCAGGCGGGCAGGAGCAGGAGAACUUCUGGGCCUUGGACCAUUAAGCCUUUUGGACCAGCAGGUGUGGAGCUAGGGCCUAUGCUGGGUGGCAAAUGAAGACGGAUACAAAGAAGAAAUCCUACACUAGCUCAGAAUUGAGUACAAUAAAAAGGUUAUUUAUUUAUGGGUAGACUCACAGAUCACAGUUCUCUGCUUGAACAGGGAAUAAAACUGAAUCCCAGAGCCAGAAAAGAGAGGGAGCACACUUUACAUUGGUGUUUAUACUAUUAAAGGCCACACAUGAUUGGGCGGGUAACUUAAAGGCUACUGACUGAAAGAUUUCCUAAAGCACUCUGGCAUACUUAUAUAAGAUACAAGACAGAAAUACCUCAUUUCCUGGUAAACUGUGUCUUAACAAUUGUAUCAUAAAACCACAUUAAAGAAUUUUUUUCUUAUACCAAGUAUUUUUUAUUCCUGUAUUUCCUUAUUUUCCCAAAAGAAGUUAUCUUUUGACAAAUUACACUUUAUUGUUAAAAAUAACAAGGCUAUAAGUAUAUGAACGGGUAUUAAAUAAUGGCUUAUCUAAUAAACAUUCUCAUAAUUAAAUAAAAUAAAAUAAAAAUUUUUGCCAUGGACUAGAGAGAUGUUUCAGCAGAAGCUACUCUUGUGAAAUAUAUGAGUUCAGUUCCUUGUAUCCACAUUGGGCAGCUCAAAACCACCUGUACCACAAGCUCCAGGGGAUCUGACAUCUUUACACAGGGAAAACAGACUCAAUAAAUGGUGCUAGAGAAACUAGUUCUGUUGUAUAUGAGUGCUUACAAAUGUAGUGUUGCAGGGAGGGCCUGCGUGUUUGUCCUUACUGCCCAGCUAGCUUAGCCCUGGAAAUAACUACACAGAAGCUAUAGUAAUUAAAUCACUGCUUGGCCCAUUAGCUCUAGUUUUUUAAUUGCAAAUUUUUACAUCUUAAUUUACCCCAUUCCUAUUAAUCUGUGUAUCACCAUGUGGCA